GGGGCUUUCAUGGUUUCGACAGGUUGGCGAACGUUACUCUAUGAUACAGGUCGAGAGCGAGUUUACUCUCGUAAAUCAAAGACUCAAAAAAAAAGUAAAUGCGAACAACAUUGUACCUUUUGCUCGUAAGCAAGCUCUAGUAGCUGCCUAAAAAUCUCUUACAGAUUCGAGCGUCUCCGGUUUGACUCCGUUAAGGACUAGAGACCAACCCCCAACGGAAGCUCUAGCAAGAGUUCUUUGAUUGGCUUGCUAGCUAAGAUUCAAUCAAAGCAUCCUACGUUCGGGAUAAGGAACGAUUCCCGCCUUGAGGGUCAGAAAGGCUAAACCUGUGAAUGAGUGGGGUACUAAUACCCAGUUUGGACAUGGGUUCGACUCCCAUAAGCUCCACUG
This 390-nucleotide transfer-messenger RNA is filed under the name Cyanomargarita calcarea. Its description in RNAcentral is "Standard tmRNA". It matches the Rfam family "transfer-messenger RNA". From Rfam's summary of the family: Bacterial tmRNA, also known as 10Sa RNA or SsrA, is named for its dual tRNA and mRNA-like properties. Its role is to liberate the mRNA from a stalled ribosome. The record is from RNAcentral. RNAcentral also lists the same sequence under 1 other name. Lineage: Bacteria; Bacillati; Cyanobacteriota; Cyanophyceae; Nostocales; Cyanomargaritaceae.